CGGGUAAAUAAUACCCGGUACCCGGGGGUCAAACACAAACGAUAACUAAAAUUUACGAAUCAUAUACCGAAUCGAAGCUCGAGUGAUGCUAAUCACAGAUCCGGUCUUAAUUUCCGAUGAUCGUACCCGACAGGGUCGGAAUUUCGCCGGGAAGCUUUUCGGGUUUCGGCUCCACAAUUCUCCCAAACCGUCGCGAAUUGGAGGCAACGGAUGCAGGAUUCGGGUUCAGGAGGUCGAACACUGCGGACUGGAGCUGGCCGGAAUUUCGGGUACUCGCCGGAACAGUAAUUUCCGGCGGGCCGCCACGGUCACCGGCAACCGUCGCCGGCGGCGGCGCAUGCGGUGGCUGUUGGCUGUGAAAUUUUGCAGACUUGUAGAUCUUGAGGAGAGCAAUCCAACGGGACCGACGGUGAGCAAAAUGGAGGUCGGACGGCAGAGAAAUCACCGUUUGAAGAUUUCCGGCCCCUCGCCGGAAAACGCUCCGAUCCCGGCGCGUCGGUGGUCCGAUGGCCGUGAUUUUUGGUGGGUAGGCCGGACUUGAGGAGAGGAUCAAGGCUAGCUGACGCGUGUACUGUAGAUCAGCCGGAACAGGGUCGAUUCGCGGUGGCCGGAGGUGGAGGGGUAAAAGUUGCCGCCAAACUUCGAAGGUCCGAUCCCGGCGCGUCCGGCGGCCGUUCACCGUGAAACUUGGAGGUUUUGCUGGAAAUAAGGUGGGCAACCUGGCUGGCCGGUGCGUGUACAGUAACUCGGCCGGAAAGUUUGAAAAUUACCGGCGGCCGGUGACUCUCUCUCUCUCUCUCUCUCUCCUCUCUCUCUUUCUCUCUCCUCUCUCUCUUUCUCUCUCUUCCCCAAGAGUUUUAACAAAUAAAAACCCUGUGUGACACUGUUCAUUCCAUGUGGACCAAUCAGAAGCUGACACGUGGCGUUACUGUGCACUUAAGCCAGAUAUAUUAAAAUAAUACGGUACCCGGCGAAUUUCAAACGUCCGUAACUUUUUAACCAAAUGUCCGAUUUAAGCGUGCCGCUAGUCUAUGAACUCGUAUCGACGAGUACUUUACAACCAUACAAGAGUCAACUCAAAAUUACAUCACAAGAAAAAGUCAACUCCCGGCACCUUUUGGACAGUUUGCACUUCAACUUGUUUCGCCCAUAACUUUCAAACCGUAGCUCCGUUUUCGACGUGCUACUAGUCUACGAACUCAGGGCGUCAUGCACUUCGCCACGGUACCCUGGUCAACUCGAAAUUCCCACUAGAGCAAAAAGUCAACUUUUGACCCGCUCGUUCAAUGGUCAACCUCGGUCAACGUGCACGGAUUCCGGUGCGAUUUGGGACGGGGUGUUACACUUCAUGUACCUGUUAUAAAGUUGGUAAACCCUCCACAGGUAUAGAAGCAUAAACUAAUUCCUUGUAUUCAACUCACCAAUUUAGAAAGCGAGAAAAUAGUAUUGUAUUCAUAAAUUACCUUGACAAUACUCAAAUAACUCUAAUUCCAGUUGAAAACAUCUAGCUAAAUUUUCUUCAAAAAAUCCCACCUAUCUUUAGCAAAAUAAAAAGAUCUCAAGCUAAAAACAAUGUGAGUUUCUAUAGAACUUAAAAUCCAACUAAUUACUUUAGCAUCUUUAGAAUUCCUUUAAGCAACUUUACCAAUAUUAGAAUAAGCCUUAAGCUUUGCAGAAAAUCCAUCUAAGUGUCCCCACAAAUUCUUUCCUUUCACAAACAUCCAAAAUUGAAAUUUCCAUGAAGAAUAAUUUUUUCACAUUUAAUUUAACAGGCAAAAUCAUUUUUCUACCAUUAUAAAAAUAGAAGGAUCUCUUUAUUUCCACGCAAGUCAAAACGGCAGCUCUCUGCAUCUUCAAAGGUUGAAGCAAAUCAUUGCUCUCUUUGAAUUUCUUCUUUGCAUUUCUCUUGGAUUUUCUUUCGUUUUUUCUGCAGGUAGCCAAUCUUCUCGAUGUUUGUGCCAUUCAAGUUGUCACCAAUCAGGUUGUUUUUUUUUUUUUUUUUUGGCCCUUCUAUUAUCCUCUCUCUGUCUAUAUUUGAAUUUUUGUGGUUUUGCUUUUUUUCCUUUUUUUUUUCCAUUCUGUUUUGGUCAUUGUGGUUGGAAAGAAAUGUUGCAUUGUUUUGUCAAAAUGUGAGAAUUUUGGAAACUUGGUGCUGCUUUGAUAUGUUCUUCAUGUACACGUUGCCUGUGCUAUGAUUUUUCUUGGUGUUGAUGAUGUUAUAUUUUAAUGACCAUAUACAGUUCGUUGAAAUUACGAUGUGAAUGUUAGUCUUAGUAGUUUGGCUCGGAUUAGAUGGAGAGUGAUAGUAUUAGACUUACUAAGCUGAACUAUAUUUUGUUGGAUUAUUCAUCUGAGAAACUGAAGAGGUUGAAGCAUGCUGUAGAGGUUUGUUUAUUAAGAAUGCCAGCUUGCUGAGGUCGCAUCAAAACUACAAUUUUGGUUGAAAUAACAUGGCCACACCAAUAUUUGACCUCCAUGCCUACGAUGCUCUUAGCUUGGUGCCUAAUAGGACCACUCACAACCUACAACUCGUUAAGACCCUUUCUAGCCUUUUCUUUUUAUGCAUAUUCAUCCCAGACCCUGCUAACAUUGUGAGAUCAUGGGUGGUUACAGCUGCUAGGAUGCAGGAGAGGAGGAACAAAUGGUGAGCCAUUUUAUGUAGUGUUUUUUUUUUUUAAAUAACUUUUUGAUUUGGGUUAUGAAGAAAAUGUGAUAGAUUUCACUAUGGUUUAUAUAAAGAGAGUAACAUGAAGAUAUUUUUGGUAUAGAAAUUGCUUAUUAAGCACUUGUGAAAUUUAAUAAUGUGGUCUUGAAAGUUAUGGCGUUGGUCAUGAAAGAACAAAUCUUCCUUUUCUUGUGACUCUCAAUCCAAAAGACAAACCAAAACAAACCUUGCUUAAGUGGUCUAAUGGCCACCCCGUUCCAUCUGUUGCUGCAUCAAAAGCUUCACUUGAACUUCAUCAUAUUCAAGGAAAGAAAGGAAUUUGGUUUUGCGGAGCAUAUCAGGGUUAGCUUUCCUGCUUUUUAAAGAUAGCAAACAUUAAAAUCCUGAAAAGAAGACCUGAAUGUUUCCUAGCUAAGUCAUAGCUCUAUCUUGGAAUAACUUAUUUAAAAUAUUAAAAUCAGAAUAAGUAGGAUUAUAGGUCUCCAAUUCUUUAACUGUUCACAUUGCCUUUACAUUUUCUAACUUUGAAUAUCUAUUUUAUGUUUCUGUCAGGUAAUGGCUUCCCAUCAGGAUGGAUUGAAGGUAAAAGGCAAUUUCUUGUAGUGGCUCCAAUAAGUACUGAGGGGAUGGCCCCUGGAAUGGCCUUCAAUACACUGGUCUGCUAUGCUUGGAAUAUAGGGGCUCAAAAUUGGGAUGUGUUCUCAUCAGUGCCAAGAGACAAUUGUGACGGGUAUGGCGUGUGUGGCACCUAUCGAAACAAUGUCAUUUGGGAAGCCCCUAUUUGCCAAUGUUUCAAGGGUUUCAAGCCAAAAGGAAACUUCAUGGACUGGUCUCAAGGAUGUCUAACCUUUUGACUGCCAGGAACGACAUUCAUCUGGCUUUGUCAAAAUCCGUGGCUUGAAAUUGCCUAAUACUACAUAUGUUCGAAUGCACGCUUUAGAAUUAAGUAUAUAUGGCAUCAUUACCUCAUCUUUUCAUUUUCAUGUGUUUUAUUUUGCAUAUAUUAAUGCUUAUUGUCCACGUUAAUGCCACUUUUGUAUUAUGGUAUGCCAAAAUUAAAUGUGAAGGUGGAGAUGGAAAGCGGAUGCAUGGUGAAAAUAGGUGUGGUAAUUCCGGGUGGUCUUGGUCGUUACAUCCGCCAAGUCAUGACUAGGAAUGGGCUAAGAGGUAAAAGUAUAAACCUCAUCACCUUUGCAAUACUAUGUGAAUUUAUCUAUAAACUAUGUCUAAAUAAUGCAAUCCUUGCGAAUAGCAAGUAGCGAAAGGCUACUAUUUCAUGAAAAUAAAUAAAUAAAUAUAAAUUUAUAAUUUAAAAUUUAAAAUUUAUUCUUAAUUACAAUAUUCUUAAGCAUUACUCUACUCAACUAUCAUUUAAAAAGAUAUCUUUUUUUUUUUUUUAAUUUACUAACUUUUUGCUAAACAUUUUAAUAAUAUUUUUUACGCUUGCCUAGGUGUGGCAAAUUUUUGCACAACCUGUUAAUCUAACAAAUUAUAUCCAUAAUGGGUUAACCUGUUAAAAUCCAUCGUUUUAGCAGGUUAUUAAUGAGGACACCCAUUAAAAUUCUUUUCAUUAGUUAAAAAGCAUGGGUCUAUAACUAGUUUUUACUAAAAAAUUAUUAGAGUUUCGAGAGUUUUAGGGUGAAACAAAAAAAAAUAUAUAUAUAUAUAUAUAUAUAUUAUUUGUUAGGUUAUUUUAUAUUAUUUUUUUAUGACUUCAGUUAUGUUUUUAGUUUUCUAAAUAUAGCAUUUUUUUUUUCAUUACAAGAAAUGAAUAUGUGUAUCAGACUAGUUUUUCUUUCUUUUCUUUUUUUUUUGUUUUAUUUAGUUUUGCAUAAUUAUAAACUUGUUAAAUAGAUUUAUUAUAAGUAUUUUCUUUUAAUUUUUUUUCAUAACAAUUUAAAUGAGUUGUUAACAGAUUACAAGUUACUGUAACAAACGAUUUGAAUUUUAGCAUGGUGUUUUUGGAAAAUUUAACACGACAUGAUACCACCAUUUCCAGGUCUACUUGAGUCAUCUUAAUUUUAUUUAAGGUUUUUUUUCUUUUUCUUUUUUUUUUUUUUUUUUGGGAUAAUUGUACUUUGUGUCUUUAAAAUCACCUAAUUUCAUUUUGGGGCUCUAAAAUUAAUUUUGUCACAUUGAUAUAUCAUGUUUUCAAAAUUUUUACAAAUUAGUCCAAUUCAGUUAAGAUUGACAAAAUUCAUCAAAUAGAAAUCAUGGGUGAUGCAUGUAACUCCCAAAUAUGAUUUUUUAAUUUUAUUUUUUUUAGAUUUACCAUUUUUAAAAAAAAAAUUUAAAAAAAUCCAAGAGAUCAAAAAAUUUCGGAUAUUCGAAAAAAAUCUAGCCCAAAAAUAUACCAAUGGUUUAAAAAAAGAAAAUUAAGAACUCGAAAAAAAUACCAGAAAAUUAAAAAAAUUUUGACAUCCUAAAAAAAUACUAAAUGUUUACAAAAUAUUCUGAGAGCCCACAAAAAUGCUAGAUAUUCAAUAAAAAAAAUCCAAGACCCAAAAAAAAUAUUAUAUGUUCAAAAAAAUUUUGAAAGCCCAAAAAAUACUAGAUGGCUAGAAAAAUUACAAGGGCUAAAAAAAAUAUCAUAUGGUAAAACAUAAUUUUGGAAGCUCGAAAAAAAUAUCAUAUUGAAAAAACAUUCUGAGAGCUCAAAAAUUUAUGAGAUGAUUAAAAAAAUUGAGUGCCAAAAAAAAGGGAAAAUGAUAAUAAAAAAAAAAAAUCCAAUAGCUUAAAAAAAAAAAAAAAAAUCAGAUGUUUAAAAAAAUAUUCUGAGAGCCCAAAAAAAAUUUUAUAUUUUUUUCAAGCUCUAGAAAUUUCUUUUACUAUCGGUUAUUUUUAUUAACCCUCGAAAUUUUUUUAACCAUCUAGUAUUUUAUUUUAGACUCUUCGAAUUUUUUUUACCAUUUUACCGUACUCUCAAAAUAUUUUUUACCAUCUAAAUUUUUUUAGAGUAUCUGAUUUUUUUCUUUUCUUGAGCUCUCAAAAAUUUUUCUAAAUAUUUGGUAUUUUUUUGGACAAUCAGAAUUUCUUUAGCCAUUUAGUAUUUUUUUCGUGUUUUUGGAAUUAUUUGAACAUCUAUUACUUUUAUUGUGCUUUUGAAUUUUUUUGAACAUUUGUAUUUUUAUCAUGUUUUUGGAUUUUUUUUACUGGUAUUUUUUUUUUUUUUUUUUUUGGCUUUGAGAUUUUUUUUGAAUAUCUGAUAAUUUUUUGGAGUUCUUAGAAUUUUUUUUUUUUACCAUAUGGCAUUUUUACUAUUCUUUCAUAACUUUCUUACCAUCUGAUUUUUUAGGCUGUUAGAUUUUUUUAACACCUAGUAUUUUUUUGGUCUUUAGAAUUUUUUUUGAACAUCUAUUCUUAUUUUAGGCACUCAAAAUUCUUUCUAACAAUUUGGUAUUUCUUUUUGUUAUAUCAGAUUUUUUUUGAACAUCUGUAUUUUUAUUGUAAUUUGGAAAUUUUUUUAACACUUAAUAUUUUUUUUGAGUUUUUAAAUUUUUUUAAACAUCUGAUAUUUUUUUUCAUUUAGAAAACUUUUUUUUAAUUUCUUAAAUGGGAAAAUAUCUUCCCCUUUAAUCUUUUUUACUUUCCCUUUCAGUUGCUUAUAUUUUUUUUUCUUUUUUUUAACUCAAAAAACAUAUACAAAGUUUAAGAGAGAGAGAGAGAGAGA
Ziziphus jujuba (common jujube) is the source of this 6335-nucleotide RNA transcript. RefSeq lists it as uncharacterized. The transcript is spliced from 3 exons. The record is from RefSeq and is a predicted model, not a curated record. NCBI's taxonomy places the organism in Eukaryota, Viridiplantae, Streptophyta, Magnoliopsida, Rosales, Rhamnaceae.